AUUGAACGCUGGCGGCAGGCCUAACACAUGCAAGUCGAGCGGAUGAAGGGAGCUUGCUCCUGGAUUCAGCGGCGGACGGGUGAGUAAUGCCUAGGAAUCUGCCUGGUAGUGGGGGAUAACGUCCGGGAACGGGCGCUAAUACCGCAUACGUCCUGAGGGAGAAAGUGGGGGAUCUUCGGACCUCACGCUAUCAGAUGAGCCUAGGUCGGAUUAGCUAGUUGGUGGGGUAAAGGCCUACCAAGGCGACGAUCCGUAACUGGUCUGAGAGGAUGAUCAGUCACACUGGAACUGAGACACGGUCCAGACUCCUACGGGAGGCAGCAGUGGGGAAUAUUGGACAAUGGGCGAAAGCCUGAUCCAGCCAUGCCGCGUGUGUGAAGAAGGUCUUCGGAUUGUAAAGCACCUUAAGUUGGGAGGAAGGGUAGUAAGUUAAUACCUUGCUGUUUUGACGUUACCAACAGAAUAAGCACCGGCUAACUUCGUG
Molecule: ribosomal RNA, 484 nt
Filed under: uncultured bacterium
Lineage: Bacteria
Description: partial 16S ribosomal RNA
Rfam family: Bacterial small subunit ribosomal RNA
Source: RNAcentral